RNAcentral lists this ribosomal RNA (2924 nucleotides) under Lactiplantibacillus plantarum. Its description in RNAcentral is "23S ribosomal RNA". It matches the Rfam family "Bacterial large subunit ribosomal RNA". The record is from RNAcentral. Lineage: Bacteria; Bacillati; Bacillota; Bacilli; Lactobacillales; Lactobacillaceae.
GGUUAAGUUAACAAGGGCGCAUGGUGAAUGCCUUGGCACUAGGAGCCGAUGAAGGACGGGACUAACACCGAUAUGCUUCGGGGAGCUGUACGUAAGCUAUGAUCCGGAGAUUUCCGAAUGGGGCAACCCAGCAGUUUUAAUCAACUGUUACCACUAGAUGAAUUCAUAGUCUAGUUGGAGGUAAACGCUGUGAACUGAAACAUCUCAUUAGCAGCAGGAAUAUAAAGAAAUUUCGAUUCCCUAAGUAGCGGCGAGCGAACGGGGAACAGCCCAAACCAAAGUGCUUGCACUUUGGGGUUGUAGGACUGAACAUUUGAGUUACCAAAGAACUUGAUAGUCGAAGGAUUUGGGAAAAUCCGCCAUAGAUGGUGAUAGCCCAGUAGAUUAAAUCAAAUUCUCUCAGUUCAGGAUCCUGAGUACGGCGGAACACGUGAAAUUCCGUCGGAAUCCGGGAGGACCAUCUCCCAAGGCUAAAUACUACCUAGUGACCGAUAGUGAACCAGUACCGUGAGGGAAAGGUGAAAAGCACCCCGGGAGGGGAGUGAAAUAGUUCCUGAAACCAUGUGCCUACAAUAAGUCAGAGCGCGUUAAUGCGUGAUGGCGUGCCUUUUGUAGAAUGAACCGGCGAGUUAUGAUCCCGUGCAAGGUUAAGACUAAAAAGUCGGAGCCGUAGCGAAAGCGAGUCUGAAAUGGGCGUUUUGAGUACGAGGUUAUAGACCCGAAACCAGGUGACCUAUCCAUGUCCAGGUUGAAGGUGCGGUAAAACGCACUGGAGGACCGAACCCGUGUAAGUUGAAAAUUGCUGGGAUGAGGUGUGGAUAGCGGUGAAAUUCCAAACGAACUUGGAGAUAGCUGGUUCUCUCCGAAAUAGCUUUAGGGCUAGCCUCGGAAUUAGGAUCAUGGAGGUAGAGCACUAUUUGGACUAGGGGCCCGUCUUGGGUUACUGAAUUCAGAUAAACUCCGAAUGCCAUUGAUUCAUAUCCGGGAGUCAGACGAUGAGUGAUAAGAUCCACCGUCGAAAGGGGAACAGCCCAGACCAUCAGUUAAGGUCCCUAAAUGUAUGCUAAGUGGAAAAGGAUGUGGAGUUGCAUAGACAACUAGGAUGUUGGCUCAGAAGCAGCCACCAUUUAAAGAGUGCGUAAUAGCUCACUAGUCGAGUGAUCCUGCGCCGAAAAUGUACCGGGGCUAAGCAUACUACCGAAACCAUGGAUGCGACCAUUAGGUCGCGUGAUAGGAGAGCGUUCUAAGGGCGGUGAAGCAAGAUCGUGAGGACUUGUGGAGCGCUUAGAAGUGAGAAUGCCGGUAUGAGUAGCGAAAGAUAGGUGAGAAUCCUAUCCACCGAAUGACUAAGGUUUCCUGGGGAAGGCUCGUCCUCCCAGGGUUAGUCGGGACCUAAGUCGAGGCCGAGAGGCGUAGACGAUGGAUAACAGGUUGAGAUUCCUGUACUAGUUAAGUGCGUUUGAGCAAUGGAGGGACGCAGGAGGCUAAGAUGUGCAUUCUGUUGGAUUAGAAUGUCCAAGCAGUAAGUCUUGUGAAGAGUCAAAUGCUUUUCACUUUAAGGACAAGCUGUGAUGGGGAGCGAAAUUUAGUAGCGAAGCGUCUGAUGUCACACUGCCGAGAAAAGCUUCUAGUGAGUACUUAACUACCCGUACCGCAAACCGACACAGGUAGUCGAGGAGAGAAUCCUAAGGUGAGCGAGUGAACUCUCGUUAAGGAACUCGGCAAAAUGACCCCGUAACUUCGGGAGAAGGGGUGCUGAUCGCAAGAUCAGCCGCAGUGAAUAGGCCCAGGCGACUGUUUAUCAAAAACACAGGUCUCUGCAAAAUCGCAAGAUGACGUAUAGGGGCUGACGCCUGCCCGGUGCUGGAAGGUUAAAAGGAUGGGUUAGCUUCGGCGAAGCUCAGAAUUGAAGCCCCAGUAAACGGCGGCCGUAACUAUAACGGUCCUAAGGUAGCGAAAUUCCUUGUCGGGUAAGUUCCGACCCGCACGAAAGGCGUAACGAUCUGGGCACUGUCUCAACGAGAGACUCGGUGAAAUUAUAUUGUCCGUGAAGAUGCGGACUACCCGCGACAGGACGGAAAGACCCCAUGGAGCUUUACUGUAGCUUGAUAUUGAGUGUUUGUACAGCUUGUACAGGAUAGGUAGGAGCCAUAGAAACCGGAACGCUAGUUUCGGUGGAGGCGUUGGUGGGAUACUACCCUCGCUGUAUGACCACUCUAACCCGCACCACUAAUCGUGGUGGGAGACAGUGUCAGGUGGGCAGUUUGACUGGGGCGGUCGCCUCCUAAAAAGUAACGGAGGCGCCCAAAGGUUCCCUCAGAAUGGUUUGGAAAUCAUUCGCAGAGUGUAAAGGCACAAGGGAGCUUGACUGCGAGACAGACAGGUCGAGCAGGGACGAAAGUCGGGCUUAGUGAUCCGGUGGUACCGUAUGGAAGGGCCAUCGCUCAACGGAUAAAAGCUACCCUGGGGAUAACAGGCUUAUCUCCCCCAAGAGUCCACAUCGACGGGGAGGUUUGGCACCUCGAUGUCGGCUCAUCGCAUCCUGGGGCUGUAGUCGGUCCCAAGGGUUGGGCUGUUCGCCCAUUAAAGCGGUACGCGAGCUGGGUUCAGAACGUCGUGAGACAGUUCGGUCCCUAUCCGUCGCGGGCGUAGGAAAUUUGAGAGGACCUGUCCUUAGUACGAGAGGACCGGGAUGGACAUACCUCUGGUGUACCAGUUGUGCCGCCAGGCGCAUCGCUGGGUAGCUACGUAUGGAUGUGAUAAACGCUGAAAGCAUCUAAGUGUGAAACACACCUCGAGAUGAGAUUUCCCAUUCCUUUAUGGAAGUAUAAGACCCCUGAAAGAUGAUCAGGUAGAUAGGUUAGAAGUGGCAGUGCGGUGACGCAUGAAGCGGACUAAUACUAAUCGGUCGAGGACUUAACCAA